RNAcentral lists this ribosomal RNA (253 nucleotides) under uncultured bacterium. RNAcentral describes it as "partial 16S ribosomal RNA". It matches the Rfam family "Bacterial small subunit ribosomal RNA", at positions 524 to 776 of the family's 1533-position model. The record is from RNAcentral.
UACAGAGGUCCCAAGCGUUGUUCGGAUUUAUUGGGCGUAAAGGGUGCGUAGGCGGCGGAGUAAGUUGGGUGUGAAAUCCCGGGGCUCAACCUCGGAAUUGCAUUCAAUACUGCUUCGCUCGAGUACUGGAGAGGAGUCUGGAAUUUACGGUGUAGCAGUGAAAUGCGUAGAUAUCGUAAGGAAGGCCGGUGGCGAAAGCGAGUCUCUGGACAGUUACUGACGCUGAUGCACGAAGGCCAGGGGAGCAAACGGG